GGGGUGAGGGGGGGUGAGGAGGGGGUGAGCUGGAGGCCACAAUACAGAGCAAUGAAUAACCCGCCAGGUUACCGGACUAACCCGUCCAGGUUACCGGACUAACCCGCCAGGUUACCGGACUAACCCGCCAGGUUACCGGACUAACCCGUCCAGGUUACCGGACUAACCCGCCAGGUUACCGGACUAACCCGUCCAGGUUACCGGACUAACCCGCCAGGUUACCGGACUAACCCGCCAGGUUACCGGACUAACCCGCCAGGUUACCGGACUAACCCGUCCAGGUUACCAGACUAACCCGCCAGGUUACCGGACUAACCUGCUAGGU
Long non-coding RNA from Gadus morhua (Atlantic cod), 325 nucleotides. RefSeq lists it as uncharacterized. The transcript is spliced from 2 exons. The record is from RefSeq and is a predicted model, not a curated record. NCBI's taxonomy places the organism in Eukaryota, Metazoa, Chordata, Actinopteri, Gadiformes, Gadidae.